UACUUGCGCUCUCUAAUUCGCUUGGUGCAGGUCGGGAACUAAUUGCUUCUCGUCCCCUAGAUUUGCCGACGCCAUCUUCUCUGCCCCGUUCUCUUCCGCUGAGAUAUGGUGGCUGUCGUCGUCAAGGGUAGAGCGAAUUAGAUCCCGCCUUGCAUCAACUGAAUCGGAUACCGCAGUA
RNAcentral lists this microRNA precursor (178 nucleotides) under Linum usitatissimum (flax). RNAcentral describes it as "miR168b stem-loop (lus-MIR168b)". Its record names the gene lus-MIR168b. It matches the Rfam family "MIR168 microRNA precursor family". The record is from miRBase by way of RNAcentral. Lineage: Eukaryota; Viridiplantae; Streptophyta; Magnoliopsida; Malpighiales; Linaceae.